This 497-nucleotide ribosomal RNA is filed under the name uncultured bacterium. RNAcentral describes it as "partial 16S ribosomal RNA". It matches the Rfam family "Bacterial small subunit ribosomal RNA", at positions 28 to 507 of the family's 1533-position model. The record is from RNAcentral.
GACGAACGCUGGCGGCGUGCCUAAUACAUGCAAGUUGAGCGCUGAAGGUUGGUACUUGUACCAACUGGAUGAGCAGCGAACGGGUGAGUAACGCGUGGGGAAUCUGCCUUUGAGCGGGGGACAACAUUUGGAAACGAAUGCUAAUACCGCAUAAAAACUUUAAACACAAGUUUUAAGUUUGAAAGAUGCAAUUGCAUCACUCAAAGAUGAUCCCGCGUUGUAUUAGCUAGUUGGUGAGGUAAAGGCUCACCAAGGCGAUGAUACAUAGCCGACCUGAGAGGGUGAUCGGGCACAUUGGGACUGAGACACGGCCCAAACUUCUACGGGAGGCAGCAGUAGGGAAUCUUCGGCAAUGGACGAAAGUCUGACCGAGCAACGCCGCGUGAGUGAAGAAGGUUUUCGGAUCGUAAAACUCUGUUGGUAGAGAAGAACGUUGGUGAGAGUGGAAAGCUCAUCAAGUGACGGUAACUACCCAGAAAGGGACGGCUAACUACGUG